Non-coding RNA from Oryctolagus cuniculus (rabbit), 8283 nucleotides. The record is from RefSeq and is a predicted model, not a curated record. NCBI's taxonomy places the organism in Eukaryota, Metazoa, Chordata, Mammalia, Lagomorpha, Leporidae.
UGCCUUUCACUGUCUGUAAAUCUACCUCUCAAAUAAAUGAAUAAAAUAUUUAAAAAAAAAGGAAGAGAGAAAGCUCAUUAGGAUGCAUACAUUCUAGCAUAGCUUUUUAAAAGAAAGUUGGAGAUUUUAAACAAAUUAAAUAGGCUGGUAUCAUUGAAGGAAUUUUCUAGAUUUCUUUUAUAAUUUCUGUUAAACUGUAAUCCAUCGUUGGGUGUUAAUAAAGACUAUGAAUUAAUGUACUCUAACAUAAUUUUAUUGAACAACUAUCAAAUGCAAGAUACUGUGCUAACUUCUGAUGAUUGUAAAUUUAAAAAUGACACAGGCUGUAUGCAACUAAUUGGAUUGUGGUUGUAAUGCAACACAAAGAAGCCCAGACCAUGCAAGGUGGAUAUUCUAGGAAAGCUAGUAAUUUGAUGUCCUUAGAAACUACACACACACACACAUUUAUUUAGCAUGGAAAUGAUUAUUAUUUACCAGGAUUUUUUUUUUUUUGGUAUUCAUUUAUGCCCUAAGCUUUAAUGAGCAAGAUUGAUUUAUAUGAGUAUUUUUCAGCUAUUUAUGGAAUGGCAUAUGAGUUGCUAUGGUGUCGUUUAAUUGCAAUGAAAGCCCAUCUUAUAAAUGUUGUUGCUUGGGCCAUCUCCGAACUGGCCCAGCCCUUAAUCCUGCUCUUUAGAGAAGAAUGGAGUUUACGGAAAUUGGGGAAGGGAGACUGAGAAGGGAAAGACUAUUUCUGAAUGGAGACUGAGUCAGGCCUCCAGUUUUAAAAUGUGGGAAACCCAGAACUAGGAAAGGGUAGAUGUGUCGGAAAGAUAGGGUAGCAUGGGAGAAGGCAGGCCCAAUCAAGUUAAGGUAAGAGGGCUACAAACUGCAAUGUACAAACUGACAAUGAAAGCACCUGGGAUAAUAUGGAGACCAAGUAAGGUCUUGUGAACUACAGAUUGGGAAGUAUCAGUAUGUUCCUAAAUCUGUACAUAUACAAUACAUAAAAUUUGUUCAUAUUAUAUAAAUAAAAUUAUUAUUAAAAAGUCUGUAUUUAAAGGAUAAAUAUUUUUAGAAGUUUAAAUGCAAUUAUUUUAAUGGCAAGAGAAAAUACAAUAUCUAUUAUAAGAUACAAUUUAUUUAAUGUAGGGGAAUAAUAAUGUCUUCAAUUUGGGCUGGGAAGGCUUUACAAAUGUUAUAUCAUAGAAUUUCAGGGGAACCAGAAUUAUUAAGAAAUUCAAGUAUUAUUGUCCAGACUUGGCUCACCAAUUCAGAGAUUUCACAGAUGUAUCAAUGUAAGUUGAGUGAAUGUAGCAUAAUUGGACAAUGAAAAAGAGAUAAAUAGAAUCAUUUAUCUCUAUGAUUCGUGGUGUAUAAUAUUGUAUGAUUAGCAUUAGACUGGGGACCAGUCUUACAUCAACUUAUAAUAUCUCACUACGUGGAACAAUGUUUUCUAACAUCUAUUCAUAUAAAUUAAAAGGCAGAUCUGGUCUUUGUAUUCUUAGAUAAAGAAGGUUUAAAUUAUAUAACUUACAUGGGUUCAUAGUGACUCAGUAUUAGUUAUAUGAAACUCUGUAGUGGUUAGGUUUUGGACAAAGCAGUGAGAUUCAUUAAGAGUCAAAAGUUUAAGAGAGAAAAAUGACCUCAAAUUAUGAAAAUAAAUUCUUUACUGGUUUUGUGCAAGCAUAUUAGGAAAAGGAGCUAAAAUUCAAAUAUUAUAUUUUGUCACCUUAUCAAGACAGUUUAAAGUACAAUUAAUGGAAAAAACUUACAGUUAAACAGUUUAACACAUUGUAUAUAUUUAAGAAGCACAGUUUGAUAUUUAAGUACAUGUAUAAAUGUGUAAUAACGAUCAAAUUAAGGCUAUUAGCAUAUCCAUUACCUCAAAUAUUCUUAAAUUUUUUUUGUAGUGAGAACAUUCAAAAUCAUCUCUCCCAGCAUUUUGAAGUAUACAUGUUAUUUUUAAUUAUACUCUUCUUCCUAUGCCAUAGUUUACUAGAGCUUAUUCCUCCUGUCUAACAGUAAACAGAUCUUUCUUUGCCUCCAAAGGAAAUUCUUAGAGAGUUGGAUGUAUUAUUUUCCAAUGAUGGAGAUAAUCUUGUCCUGAGCUGCACUCUUUUAUCUAGGCCUUUUUAUGUUGGGCUAGGUUAACACUUAUAUUUUAGUUAUCUUUUUUUGUAAAGCUAAUAUGUCCCUAUAGGAAUUAAAUUCAUGUCAUUGGCCUCAUUGGCACCAUGGUGCUAUGUGUAAAAUCAAAUAAUCCAGCUUUUGGAAUCAAUUAGGCCUUUAUUGAGCUAUUUUCUGCAUUUGAGAGAUACUAUAAUUGAAUAAGAUGAUUAGAAAAUGGAUAAUAUCCAGAGCUACAUCAUCCAAUAUGGUAGCCUCUGGCCAUAUGUUUCUAUUUAAGUUUCAAUGUAAAUUAAUUAAAAUUUAACUUAUUUUAAAUUUAAUUUAUUAUAUUAAAUUUAAAUUAAAAAUGCAGUUGCUCAGUCUCACUGGCUGUAUUUUAAGUGCUCAGUGGUCGCAUGUGGCUAGCUGUUAUCCUAUUGGACAAUACAAAAAUAGAACAUUUUCCAUCAUUAGAAAGUUCUGUUGGAUAGUGUUAUCCAGGAGUCUGGCAAUUAAGUGUUGACAUUUAGCUGCUAUUGGAAGAUUUGAGCUGUUUAGCCUGACAAAGAUAUUCUUGGAAUAUAGAGUAAGUUAAUAGUCAUUAGAUGGAAGUAGGAGUAUGGUAAUCCUUCUGCAGUUUCAGAAAGGGCCAACUAUGUUAGUCUCAGGUUAAAUUUUAGCAGGAAUGAUUUAGAUGAGAUAUUUUAAAGUCCUUCCUACCUGUAAGAAUCUGAAGCCCUGGAAUAUACACAAUAUAGAGAAGAUGGCAAUGUCUUCUCAGUUGUUGAUGAAAACAUGUAAGACAAUGGUUUCUAACAUUCUAAUGACAUUUCUAACAUUUUAAUGACAACCAUAUCCAACUGCAUAGAUAUUAUUUUAUAAAAGUUAACUUUCCAAAACUACAUCAUUGUCCCUUUUGAGUAUAAUUUUGCCUUUGGUGUCUGUUGAUUGAGAAACCACCAGGAAACCAGCAGUUUGAAAUCGCUAUGUAUAUACUGUUAAAAAGUAUUUAGUGUUUGUGUGACAUUUUAAUUGGCCCUAGCUAAUUAUUGGGUCUCUUUUAGUAACUUUGAGCCUUGCCACGCAGAGGUGUAUAGUGGGAGCCACUGGUGUACACAUUCAUUUUGCAAAGGGGCCAGGGAAUCCAGGAAGUUUGACCAGAGGGAGAGGUAGAUGAAUUUUCAGUGUUCUUUCUGGACAUCAACUUUUUAUGAUUAAUUACUUAUACUCAUAUCUUUGAAUUUUGCUUCUUUUUUCUGGCCUGUGUCCAGAUUUUUACCAAUUUGAUCUGAAAUGAAAUUUUUCAUUUGAUCUAAAAUCAGACUGUUGUAGGCUUUCAAACGCUCACCCAUAGCUUCUCUUGUCUUAUCUUCAGUACCCUUAAGAUCAUUUUAUUAAAUAUAAAGCCAGUUGAUCUCCUUUAUCUUACAUGCCUAUUGGGUUAAGUGAUUUGCACACAUUGUACACCUGGCAGGUCCUUCAGUUAUGAACAUUUAAGCAUGAAAAUCUUCAGUUCUUUUCUUAGUCAUGCAACCUUGAAUUCCUUGAGAACGUGAUUGUUUCUUUCUUUUUUUCUUUAAAUCUACAUUAAUAACAUAGGUCUGUGAACAUCUCAUUGAGAAGGAUUAGCCCUUAGGUAAAGAGGGAUUUGGAUUCUUGACUUCUGCUCAUCAGGCCAGGAUGGGGUGUUCAGGACCAUUGGUUAAGGUUAUGGGAAAGUUGGUCAUCCUGUGUGUAAUCCCAUGAGGACAACAAAAUCUGUUUGGGAAGCAAUUAUGAGGGUUAAUUUUCUUUUAAUCUGCUUUAUUCUCGGGACUGGAUUCUGGCAGCAGGCAAACAGAUUGCACAGUCCAGCCCAAGCAGCCUGCAUCAUGGUUCAGUGAAACCCUAAAUCCCUUCAAUCACUUUAAGAACAAUGUUUCUUUCAGAAGUGCCAAAGGCACUGUGUUGUAGAAAUGAACAUUCAGGUCAUCUUAGCUAUAGGAGUAGCUUUGUUUGUAUCUAGAGAGGAAAUAUUUUUCUUCUCAUGGCUCUGAUGUGGGCUAGGAAAACAGUCAUUUUCUUAACUAACUGGACUACAAAGACAUUCAGCUGAGGAAGCUAAAUCAUCCUUAAGUUUCUAGUGUUAACAACUUAUUAAAAAUGGAAAGUGAAAAAAAGUACAGUGUAGUUUAAGGCCCAUUUAUUGAGUGCCUACUCCUUGGCAGGCCCCAGAAAAACAGUGUUCUUUAAUAGGGAAUCCAAACAAGUCAACAUACAGUUACAACAUAGGGCAAUAAAUUUGGCAGUAGACUUAAACAGAGAUCCCCCAUGGCAGCAAGGAUGUGAGGGACCCAACCCAACCUGUGUCACUGAAUGGGGAGCUAGGAAAAAGGAAGCCUUUCUGGAAGAUGUAGUACUAAUUGUGAUUUUUUUUCAAAGUAAAAGAGAUGUAGUUGGGGGAAAUUGAGGCCAUAAGGAUAUGCUAUGAUGUGUGCAGGGUGCUAAAAUGUGUUCUGUUCUGAUAGAUCACAUUAGCAAAUUUUUAUGCGUCAGAUUUAAAAACUAAGUAUGUCAGUAUACUUUCCCUGAAUUUCACAUUGAUAGUCUCUUCUGAAGCCCAAUAUACCAAAGAAAAAUAACAGAAACAAAAUACAUACAAAUGUACUCAUAUACACAUUUUUCAAAUGUUAAGUAAGUCGGUAUUCUGAAAACAAUAAAGAUAGUGCUUGAAAGAGGCUUGGCUAAGGUAAAAAUUAAACCCACCUCCCAAUAAUGUAGAGCUGCAAACUUGUCAGAGACACAAUGAGCAAAGAAAGAACUUUUGAGUUCUCAUCAACUUGAAAAAACCAGGAAUUUUCUUCCAACAACCUCUCAGUUGACGUAAGAAGAAACACUUCUCAUCUUGAUGAUCUUGGUGCAGAAAUAAGUGUGGAACCAGGAGAAAGAACAAUUGUUUCUUCAUUUAAAUGGGGUAGCUUUGUUGUUUUGAUGAUGGGCCUUUGUGGCAGAUAGCUAACCACUUCCAUGCUUAGUUUCAAUUUUAGCUUGCUGCCCUUAAUCUGCAACAUAGUCUUGGCCUGAAACACUGCCAAGAAGAAGAAGGAGAAAAGGUGAUCUGUGUAAAUAGAACUCCAUCCUGUUACUUAAAGGAUUUAGACAUUUUGGUCCUUCAUUAGCAAACCUUUUCAAGUGUGGGUCCCAGCACAUGUGUAAAGGGCCAUAGGCUUUUCUAGGGUUAUUUUUGGAUUUUGAACAAAUUUGACAAUUUCUACAGCAUGAGUAUCUCAUCAUUUCUUUAAAACCUUAGGACUAGAAAUACAUAUCACUUUAAUUCCCUUUGUUUCAGACUGAGAUUUUCAUACUGGUCAGAAGAGAACAUUUCCCUAAAGCAACAAAUUUUUAUAAAGCCAUGGAUAAUUUUUGUUUUCUUUCUUAGCACAGCAUGAGGAGAAUUGGAAAACUCUUAUGAGAACUGAUAAAGUGUACAGAAUAUGUUCCUUGUUUCUUGGCAAAAGAAGCUUCUUCCAUCAUAAGUGCUGUGGUUGAAAGAAACAUAAAUCCAUCCCCCAAAGAGUCCAAAACAUAUUUGGAUUCAAGUGGGCAAGCCCCUUUCGUGGUUCUGCUUGAGUGGGGUCCUGUGGUUGGUUUGGGUAACGAACACUUUCCCACAGUGGAAGGCUUAAGGGUUUCUUUAAGUGGGUUCAGUAUGCUAUGCCUUUUCAUUCAAAGAUUUUGAAACCAAAUAGGAGGUUGCCUUUUGAGACUGCUCUGGAAAGAAUGUCUUGUGGUGAAUAUCAAACCACCUGAACAAACAGGAGCACCAUGUGCGUCUCCCCUGGAGGGCUUUCUCAGGGUAGAAGGUGGAGAAGCCACUCUCUUCAUCUCUAGAAAUGCUGAGAGGAGUUUAUUUUCUUAAGAAAGAUAUGACCCCAUUUGGGCCUGCCUGGUACCCUGUCUAAAUCUUUGGAGAGAAAGAUGUGGCAGAUCUGCUAUGAAUCACAGAGACUGACUUCAGGAGGGAUUACCAUGCCAGACUUGGGAAUGAGCUAUUAGAUGCCAUUAAUUUCUCACCAGUCCUAUUUUGAUUGCUGCAAUAGAAGCAGAAACAGGAAAAGUAUAAUGGACCACUGAAUAAGGAAAAGAAUACAGACUGCUAUUGAUUUGCACAUCUUUGAAAGAACAGGGAAAGAAGGGGAAAUUAUAUAAUAAACAAGAUUGAUCUUUAUAACUGAGAAACUUCCUAGGUUAAAAUACUUUUUCAACCAAGUUACUAUGGCAUUUAGCUACAGGUAUUCAAAUGGAUCUGCACUCUAACCCUUCAGGGAAUGAUAUUCUUUUUAAAAAUUAAAAAACAAAAAUGUAAACAAAGUCUGGGCCAUGACAAAACUUGGGGUUCAAAACUCAAUAUGAGUUGGCCACGUGGGUGGCAGGGACCCAAGUAUUUGAUUCAUCAUCUGUCGCCUCCCAGAGGUGCACAUUAACAGGAAGCUGGCUCAGAAAUGGAGGAGCGAGGCCUCACCCAGAUACUCCAAUCUAGAAUAUUGGCAUCCCAAGUGGUAUCUUAACUGCUGUGCCAAAUGCCAAUCAUAGGGAACAGUUAGUCUCAAUCUGGGGUUGGGAUACUCCUUGAACUAGAUUAUGUGAGAAGACUUUGCAGUAGGCUAUAAAAUGGCUCCCCAAAACAUAUUUACCUCCUAGUCCAUGGAAAACAUAAAUGUUAGUUUAUUUUAAACAGGAUUUUUGUAGAUGUGAUUAAAUUAAGGAUUUUGAGAUGAAAAGUUUAUCCUGGAUAAUCUAAGUAGACCCUAUAAACUCACAGGUACCUUUAUAUGAGAGAGGCAGAGGAAACUGUACUGAUGGAAGAGGAGGUGGCAAUGUGACCACAAAGGCAGAUGUUGGAGUAAGGUCAAAAGUCAAGCUAUCUGAAGCUACAAGAGGCAAGGGAUGCAUUUUCUCCUAGAUGAGGCCUCUGGAGGGGAUGCAGCCUAGCAGAUAGCCUGAUUCUGGCCUACUGAUACUGAUUUUGGACUUCUAACCUCUAAAACUUGAGGCAAUAUCACCAAGUUUGUGAUUAUUUUUUUACAGCAACCCAGGACACAAAUGAAAUCCUGAAAUAUGACCAUUGAUAAGUUACUAGGAGCUUAGUGCCAUCAAUGAGGAAGUGUAUAAGUUGGGGGAAGCUGAUGGCAAUGGUUUGCUGGAGUCUAGAAUCAGGAAGUAACAGGCAGCAGAGAGGACUGACAUAACAAGAAGAGAGAAGAUAUCUGAAGCAGCUGAGGCUGGGCCAGGCCAAAGCUGGAAACACAAUCCAGGUUUUCUAUAUGGAUGGCAGAAACCCAGUUACUUGAGCUGUCACAAGGGUCUGCAUUAACAGGAAGUCCGAAUCAGAAAGCAGAGCCAGAAAUCAAACCCAGGUACUCUCAUAUUUUAGGUCACUUGAGUCUCCAACCAACAUUAACUUGCUUGGAUCCACACUGAUGUUUUCUGGAAAGAUUGGUAAGAAAUGGUAAACAAUUACUUCUGGUAUGUAUGAUUUGAGGUUGGAGGAAUGGGGAAGAGCACUUUCAUGUUUGACCUUGUGGUUUUACCUAUACUUCUGGAAUUUCAAAGUUCUUAUCUUGGUCAUGUAUUAUUUUUGUAAUUGUUGUUAAAGGCAGUUUUCCUGCAUUGAUGGAAAAGUGAGUUGAUAGAGUUCUGUUAUGAAACUCUAAUUCCAAGGUCAAUAGCUUAGACUGAAAGUUGGAGAAAGAGAACAUUGAAUAAUGUUUUUGAGCAGAAAUUAGGAGGAAAAACCCUCAUAGGAUUUGUGGGUUGAGAUAGAAGGAGGAAGACAUUCUGGAAGACCAGUGUGGUCUGGUAUGUGUAGUUGGAUGAAUGGUAGAGUUGGUCACACAAACUGGGAAGGGUGGAGGAGGUCAAUCUCUUGCUGGUUUUCCUGCCGUUGCCUAACAGUAGGAUAGGGCUGUUCACAAUCUGCUGUCCCUUGUCUUAUGCAGGACUUUCAUUCUAUGAAGGAACCUGCUAGAUAAAUGAAUUAAAUCCAAGAAUAAAUGAAGGGGUAAUGUAGAAUAUGAAAACACUUGCUUGAAUUUUCCAAAUAGGAAUGUUUUAUCAUGGUGCAGGCAUUUUCUUCAAAGUAUCUUCAAAAUUUUACUUCUGAUGUAUAGAACCAAAAGUAUAUUGGGAAGCCUAUACAGUAUUUAUAACAAAUUU